GUCAGCAGUCAGGUCAGUGGUCAGGUCAGCAGUCAGGUCAGUGGUCAGGUCAGCAGUCAGGUCAGUGGUCAGGUCAGCAGUCAGGUCAGUGGUCAGGUCAGCGGUCAGGUCAGCAGUCAGGUCAGUGGUCAGGUUAGUGGUCAGGUCAGUGGUCAGGUCAGCAGUCAAGUCAGUGGUCAGGUCAGCGGUCAGGUCAGCAGUCAGCAGUCAGGUCAGCGGUCAGGUCAGCAGUCAGGUCAGUGGUCAGGUCAGCAGUCAGGUCAGUGGUCAGGUCAGCAGUCAGGUCAGUGGUCAGGUCAGCGGUCAGGUUAGUAGUCAGGUCAGUGGUCAGGUUAGUGGUCAGGUCAGUGGUCAGGUCAGUGGUCAGGUCAGCAGUCUGGUUAGUGGUCAGGUCAGUGGUCAGGUCAGUGGUCAGGUCAGUGGUCAGGUCAGUGGUCAGGUCAGCAGUCAGGUCAGUGGUAAAGGUCAGUGGUCAGGUCAGUGGUCAGGGAUGCUGUAUUUCCAUAGGGUACAUAAAUGUAUAAUGCAG
Molecule: long non-coding RNA, 529 nt
Organism: Oncorhynchus tshawytscha (Chinook salmon)
Lineage: Eukaryota; Metazoa; Chordata; Actinopteri; Salmoniformes; Salmonidae
Source: Ensembl